ACGGAGGGUGCAAGCGUUAUCCGGAUUCACUGGGUUUAAAGGGUGCGUAGGCGGGUUGGUAAGUCCGUGGUGAAAUCUCCGAGCUUAACUCGGAAACUGCCGUGGAUACUAUCAAUCUUGAAUAUCGUGGAGGUAAGCGGAAUAUGUCAUGUAGCGGUGAAAUGCUUAGAUAUGACAUAGAACACCAAUUGCGUAGGCAGCUUACUACACGAUCAUUGACGCUGAGGCACGAAAGCGUGGGGAGCAAACAGGA
Molecule: ribosomal RNA, 253 nt
Filed under: uncultured prokaryote
Description: partial 16S ribosomal RNA
Rfam family: Bacterial small subunit ribosomal RNA
Source: RNAcentral